GGUCGGGUAGGUCUCACCUGUCCGUACCCGGUGGUGAGGAGGUCGCUCCGUGCGCCAGCCGCCGCCAGUCAUCCACCAGACGCCGAGCCGACAUGAGGUGCCUACUGCCGCUGAUCGUUCUUCUGGGCGCCGUCCAGGCAGUGCCGUUCUUCAAGUUCCGUUUCGGUCCGGAACACCGCAGUGAUGAGCUGGGUCCCAAGCUGCCGCCGGAGCCGUUCCCGCAGCGCGUGCCGGACGAGUCGGCGGCCGUGUUCGCCCUCCAGCUGCCAAAGCUCGACCUCUCCGACCUCUUCAGGCCGCUGCGGGUGUUCGCAGGUGUGAACGUGGACCAUCCGUCUGGUAUCGCCGUGCGGGAGGAGGAGCCCAACUGCGACCUGGGCAAGUUCGACCUCGCCGACGACGAGUUCGACAUCGUCAUGGACUGUCAGAAGGCCUCCGGCGGCGACGACGUGGAGCUCAAAGAGUGCAUCCUGACCAAGCUGCCCAAGACCGCUGUUGAGCUGAGGGACUUCCUUGACAGGGAAGAGUUCGGUGUUGCUGGUCUCAGCUCUUCUUUCCAUCUGUCUCUGCUGAACGGAGAGUUCACCCAGAAGAGGAGCGUCCAGUUCCGACUGUGUCCGCGGGACGAGGUGAACAGUAUCGACGGACCCGUGGUGCCCGUCGUGGAACAGGUGGUGCCCGUUGUGGAAGAAGUGGUGCCCAUGGUGGAGGAGAUGGUGCCCAUUGAGGCUCUCAGCCCGGACCGCAUCGAUGAAUCAGCGCCGUCCGCGCCGGGAGCCGUUCUUCCUCCACAGCGGCCGCUCUUCCAGUUCCCUGAGCUGAAGCUGCCCAACUUCGGCCAGAUCUUCACCGAGGCGUUCGCGCCGGUGUUCGGUCCGCGUCCCGGCACUGAGGAGGAGGACGCCGGCCUGGGUCUGUUCGGCUCGCACCUAAACCCAUUCGCGGUGCGCCACCCGCCGGCCGUCACCGGUCCGCAGCACGGGUUCUUUGCCUCGCUGUUCCCGGCGCUGGCCGCCACGCCGCCGCCGCAGGGACCGCCCGACGGCAUUGACAUGGACAACUGCGACAGCCAGAAGUUUGACGUGUCCCGCUUUGUCUUCAACGUCGCCAACCGUUGUCAGUACGCUAACGACUACAGGAAGUGCCUCCGCCUGGAUUUGGCCGGCGACAAGAGCGCCCAGGAGCUGCUGGACUUCGCCACCGACACCGACUACAGCGUGGUCGCCUCCAGCUUCUCUUCGUUCCAGACCACCUUCGACCUGGAGUCGCUCCACGACGGAAAGGGUCUGCUGGACCUGAAGCGGAAGAACCAGAUCGACCUGCGCCGCUGCGCUAACAUCGUGAAGGAGGUGACCACCGAGGUUCCCAUCGAGGAGGCCACCACUGAGGCUGAACCCGUCGCCGAGGAGGUCACUCCUGAGGUUGUCACUGAGGUCAUCGAAGAGCUCGUCCCUGACGUCGCGGAGGUCAUCCCGGAGGGCACCCUUGACAUUGUAUCCGAGGAGAUCCCCGUUGUCAUCGAGGAGUAUCCUUCGGAGCUGGCUCCCGGUGUCGAGGUUACCCCUGAGGUAGCUCCGGAAGAGCCUCAGGCGACCACCGAGGUCUUCGAGACGGUCCCGGAGGUUGUCGAGGCCGUGGACGCUGAGAAGGAGGCUGUAGAGGCCAAGAAGGCUGCCGAACCUGAAGAGCCGGUGGUUGUGGCUGAGAAGCCAGUAGAGUCUGAGAAGCCUGUGGAGACUGAGAAGCCUCAGGAAGCUGAGCCUGUGACUGAGGUGGCUGUGGAGACCGAGAAGGUGGCUGUGGAGACCGAGAAGGCCCCUGACAGCGUGGAGACGCCAGUCGAGGUGUCCCAGCCGGUGGAGUUCGAGGGAAACGUCGAGGCCGGCCCUAAAUAUGAUCUUGCCGAGCCAUAAACACUUCGACGUUCGUGCUUGGAUGGUCUGAAGAUUGACGUCAGGAAACCACUGAGUCGGCUUUAUACAAGUUCCGUCCAUUCUUGUCUGUAUAUUUUCGUGGCAUCUAAACUCUAAAGGAUAAAGUUUUGAUGCAUUCUUUUUACCCACUUGAGGCUUUUACAGUUGGCUAUAUGUGAUGCAUUUUGAUGUUUGGAUCACAUCAUGUUCAAAUGCAUUUCAGAUCGUAGAUAUGUAGUAAAUGUACUAUUUAUCGGAGUGGAAGAGGCCUUGUUAUUCGUUAUUGGCUGGUUUUGAGCGCUGUUAGUAGGCUGCAAGGAAGGAACGCCUUAGCGUCACAUAGGUACAGGUGACUUUAAUCGAGCAUUUGGCGCUAAUUGCUUGCGAUGAGCUGUCACUACGUAUUGCAGAUUGAACUUUCAUUUCAUUGGCGAUCACGUUCCGACUGAAAUCGCAUCCUACAAUGUGUAAUGUUUUAUGUUACGCUGGUGUUCAUAGUACGCUAUUUAUCUUCAUUGUAUCUCAGUAUGGUUAGAUGUGAGACGUUUUUUUAGAAAUGUGCAUUGGAGUACACGUAUUUUGCAGCUGUGAAAUACUUUUGAAUACAAUCCGAUGUUUAGU
This 2534-nucleotide unclassified non-coding RNA is filed under the name Amphibalanus amphitrite. RNAcentral describes it as "uncharacterized LOC122378951, transcript variant X2". Lineage: Eukaryota; Metazoa; Arthropoda; Thecostraca; Balanomorpha; Balanidae. The record is from RNAcentral.